This 275-nucleotide ribosomal RNA is filed under the name uncultured eukaryote. Its description in RNAcentral is "partial 18S ribosomal RNA". It matches the Rfam family "Eukaryotic small subunit ribosomal RNA", at positions 21 to 306 of the family's 1831-position model. The record is from RNAcentral.
UAGUCAUACGCUUCUCUCAAAGAUUAAGCCAUGCAUGUCUAAGUAUAAGCACUUAUACCGUGAAACUGCGAAUGGCUCAUUAUAUCAGUUAUUGUUUAUUUGAUAGUUCCUACUACUUGGAUAACCGUAGUAAUUCUAGAGCUAAUACAUGCGUUAAACCCUGACUGCUUGCAGAAAGGGCGUAUUUAUUAGAUACAACCAACCCUUCGGGUCACUGGUGAAUCAUAAUAACUUAUCGAACCGCAUGCUUCGGCGGCGGUGGUUCAUUCAAGUUU